This 353-nucleotide ribosomal RNA is filed under the name uncultured bacterium. RNAcentral describes it as "bacterial SSU rRNA". It matches the Rfam family "Bacterial small subunit ribosomal RNA", at positions 8 to 353 of the family's 1533-position model. The record is from RNAcentral.
AGAGUUUGAUCCUGGCUCAGGAUGAACGCUAGCGACAGGCCUAACACAUGCAAGUCGAGGGGCAGCAUGGUAUCAGCUUGCUGAUACCGAUGGCGACCGGCGCACGGGUGAGUAACGCGUAUGUAAUCUACCUGUAACAGAGGGAUAACCCGGAGAAAUCCGGACUAAUACCUCAUAGCACAUAUUAUUCGCAUGAAUUUUAUGUUAAAGAGACUCGGUUACAGAUGAACAUGCGUUCCAUUAGCUGGUUGGCGGGGUCACGGCCCACCAAGGCAACGAUGGAUAGGGGUUCUGAGAGGAAGGUCCCCCACACUGGUACUGAGACACGGACCAGACUCCUACGGGAGGCAGCA